Heterocephalus glaber (naked mole-rat) is the source of this 1036-nucleotide long non-coding RNA. The record is from Ensembl. NCBI's taxonomy places the organism in Eukaryota, Metazoa, Chordata, Mammalia, Rodentia, Bathyergidae.
GGAAAGACCUGAAUCACCUCUCAAGCUCUGGUUCUCCCUGGCUGUUUAGAUACCAGGGAAGGUUUGAGUUGGCCCUGUGGGAUCAACUGUCACUCCAGCCCCACUGGAAAUUUCCAUUUUAAUCUGGGAAAAGAGGGAAAUCUACCACUAGGAGGGUGAGCUUCGCGCAACUCUUGCAGCCAAACGUCCUCACAACUGAAGCAGGAAGUGGCUUUUCUAUCUUCAGGGAAUGGUUGUUUCUGGGACCGUCCUUCACAGGCUUGCAGUACAAUUUGCAGGGAAGAUCAUGAUAACUUUAGCUGGCUUUCUUCAUCCACUGAAGCAACUGUGAUACCAGACAAGCCAAGAAUCCAUGGAAUCCUGAAUACAUUGCUCUGGUUUCCAGCCUGACAAACACUACAGGGAAUCUUUGUGUGCCUGCGUUUGAUCAUUAUAAUUAUCCCAAAGCCCCACAGUCCAGAUACAGUUCCUGAAGCCUUGCAGAAUCACCCAGACCAUUUUCUGAACUGAACCAGUGUCUGGGUGUGGAGGAUCCACCUGAGGAUUGUUGCCAACAGCCAUAAAAAGAGAACUGGAGGGGAAGAUCGAAGGCUGUUGAUUUUCUAGGAGCAGCUUGUGUGGAUGGUCUUCCUGAUAGGAACUCGGCUGUUUUCAUCAGAGGGGGAGCUCAGGCCUCACUGUGGCUGGGAAUGGCUGCUGUUCUGUCAGGGGAGCUCUGAUCUUCACCGUGAGCAUCACUUCCUGGCUCCAGUAUGGAUCCCUCAGCCUGUGGCACAAAUCCUUCACCCCACCGGCAUAGGCUUUCUGGCUCCCACCACUGGCCUUUGGGCCUUCAGGUGCAGAUCCUCAAUACUGACAAGCGUGAGACGUUGCCAUGGGCUCUGGGCCUCUGGCUGGACUCAUGGAGGACACUGCCUUGGGCUCUAAGCCUUUAGCUGGACUUGUGUGGGAAAUUGCUGAUCCAGGCUCUCGGCUAGAUUCUUUGGGCCCCUAAUGUGUGGCUAAUCUCUUGCACUCCUUUGCAUUUGACUUUUGG